AUAUAUUUUAUGUGAAAUUGACAAUAAGAAUGAAAGUCGUACUAUGAACGUAGUAAGGUCGUAAGAAGAGCGUAAUGAGGACGGCAAGGGCGUGCUAGAAUCGUACUAUGGUCGUGAACAGCGUGGUAAAGUCGUAGUGGAAGCGUAGUUGGGUCGCGGUGAGAACGUGAUGGUCGUAGUAAGGUCGUGAUAACGUCGCUGUGAGAUCGUAGCGCAAUCUCUCCGAAUAGAAUCACGCUUUCGCUACGCUCUCGCUACGAUUGUACAGCGACCUUUGCGAUCUUACUACGAUCUUAGUGCG
RNAcentral lists this long non-coding RNA (301 nucleotides) under Mytilus galloprovincialis (Mediterranean mussel). Lineage: Eukaryota; Metazoa; Mollusca; Bivalvia; Mytilida; Mytilidae. The record is from RNAcentral.